UACAGUCGUGGCCUCUGUUGUGCCAGAAUUGCUUAGCAAGAAGACUACUUUGAAAAGGGUGGCUUCAUUUCAUCUCAAUUAUUAUGUAUUUGAAACAUAAUUUAUCUUUGUGUUUAAUGGUUAACACUUAACAAGGUUCCUCUUUAUGGUUGAUUUUUAUGCCUUUAUUAUGAUUAUUAGAAUUUAAUUUGUUGUUCUGAAUUCUGAACAAUGGCCAUGAUCCUUAGCUUAGCUAUUAAGUAGAAGGUUUAGGAUAAAUUGGAAACUCACUCAUCUUUCUUCCAUGGCCGAACCACACACUCCACCAUCACUAUACAUCACUCAAAAUUCAUCUCUCCACCAUUUUCAUCCUUUCGAAGCUUGUUUGAAAGCUAGGAGUUGUGAGCUUCCUCUUCUAAGGUAACUAAAACUUCUUUUCUUCUCCAUAGCAGGUCAAGCUCUUAGAGCUUGAAGAAUAGUUUUAUGUCUUUUUCAUAUUUAUGAUUUAGUUAACUCCUAAUGGAAGUCUUGUAGUAGCUAUUAUGAAACUAGUGUGUUAAGGGUAGUUAGAUGGAUAUUCNNNNNNNNNNNNNNNNNNNNNNNNNNNNNNNNNNNNNNNNNNNNNNNNNNNNNNNNNNNCAAUUUAUCAAAGACAUGAGAGUUGCUUCUGCUGCUUUGAAAUUAGACCCUCUGUAGCUUUUGAAAACAUGUAUUGAUGUGGUCUAAUUUUGAAGAAUAAAAUCAGUGAGGGUUUAAAUCUACUUAGCUUAAAAUUUUGAGUUACUUUGGAAAAGAAAUUUUUAAGUUAAGAUAAGCUUUUGAUGAUUGUUUUAUACAAGUAGAUUAUUGGUUUUGGGAAUGAAAUGUUUGAACUAGCCAUGUUUUAUUGAGAGGCAGAGGCAUGUAUAGUAUAUGUAUCAUGCUUCUUUUCAAAAUUUUCAUGCUAUUUUAAAAAGAGAAUGAUCAUGGUUUAGAAGAAAACAAUUAUUUAGUAACUCAAUUAAAUUUACUUUGUUUGGAGAUGAAACUAGAAACUUUUUCAUUGCAACAUGUAUAAUUAUUUCUCAUUGUGGUUAGUAAGUGAUUGUUUACACGAGCCUUUUGAUCUUUAAUAAGGUUGCUACAUGUUAAGUUGACACUGCUUUAUGUAAGAUUUGCUUCAAGUUUUGGGACUGGUUUAUGCAACAUAUUUGGGGUACAGCCUAACAGCAAUGACUGUAGAUAUUAUGUAAUGAAGAAUAUGAUUGACAUUGUCUCAGCUAGUAUUACAAAGAAUUGAUGGAGGUAUUAUAUUUUUCUUUAUCGACAUUAUAUGUAUUUUUCGUUAACCUCUCUUGAUGUUUAGCAGACUGCUUAUGCUUUUAUGGUAAAUCUGUAUAGGUUUGGUUGGCACUUAAUAAGUGAAAUUAACAUACAAAUAGUGUAGAUAGUAGAACCACAUGUUAGAUUAUGAGACAGAAGUAUUGAUUGCUGCAUUUUUUCUGCAUAAAAAGAAGUAUUGAUUGCUGCAUUUUUUCUGCAUAAAUGAGACUGGUUUUCUGUAUAUUCAUGCAU
RNAcentral lists this long non-coding RNA (1533 nucleotides) under Trifolium pratense (red clover). RNAcentral describes it as "long non-coding RNA (TPRA_LNC002166)". Lineage: Eukaryota; Viridiplantae; Streptophyta; Magnoliopsida; Fabales; Fabaceae. The record is from RNAcentral.